RNAcentral lists this ribosomal RNA (426 nucleotides) under uncultured bacterium. RNAcentral's name for it is "bacterial SSU rRNA". It matches the Rfam family "Bacterial small subunit ribosomal RNA", at positions 354 to 796 of the family's 1533-position model. The record is from RNAcentral.
GCAAGGAAUAUUGCGCAAUGGGCGAAAGCCUGACGCAGCGACGCCGCGUGGGUGAAGAAGGCCUUCGGGUCGUAAAGCCCUUUUGCUGGGGAAGAGAGCGGACGGUACCCAGCGAAUAAGCCCCGGCUAACUACGUGCCAGCAGCCGCGGUAAUACGUAGGGGGCAAGCGUUGUCCGGAUUUACUGGGCGUAAAGGGCACGUAGGCGGUUCGUUAAGUCGGUUGUGAAAUCCCCCGGCCCAACCGGGGGGGGUCAGCCGGGACUGGCGGACUUGAGGGAGGCAGAGGAAAGCGGAAUUCCCGGAGUAGUGGUGAAAUGCGUAGAUACCGGGAGGAACACCAGUGGCGAAGGCGGCUUUCUGGGCUUCUCCUGACGCUGAGGUGCGAAGGCGUGGGGAGCGAACCGGAUUAGAUACCCGGGUAGUCC